GUACCUACGGGACGCAGCAGUGAGGAAUAUUGGUCAAUGGCCGAGAGGCUGAACCAGCCAAGUCGCGUGAGGGAAGACGGCCCUACGGGUUGUAAACCUCUUUCGUCGGGGAGCAACGCGAGUCACGUGUGACUCAUUGAGAGUACCCGAAGAAGAAGCAUCGGCUAACUCCGUGCCAGCAGCCGCGGUAAUACGGAGGAUGCGAGCGUUAUCCGGAUUUAUUGGGUUUAAAGGGUGCGCAGGCGGAGGUGCAAGUCAGCGGUCAAAUUGCGGGGCUCAACCCCGUAAUGCCGUUGAAACUGCAU
This 305-nucleotide ribosomal RNA is filed under the name uncultured bacterium. Its description in RNAcentral is "bacterial SSU rRNA". It matches the Rfam family "Bacterial small subunit ribosomal RNA", at positions 333 to 638 of the family's 1533-position model. The record is from RNAcentral.